Molecule: ribosomal RNA, 446 nt
Filed under: uncultured bacterium
Lineage: Bacteria
Description: bacterial SSU rRNA
Rfam family: Bacterial small subunit ribosomal RNA
Source: RNAcentral
UCCAGACUCCUACGGGAGGCAGCAGUGGGGGAUAUUGCACAAUGGGGGGAACCCUGAUGCAGCGACGCCGCGUGGGUGAAGGAGUGCUUCGGCAUGUAAAGCCCUAUCGGCAGGGAAGAAGCAAGAUGGUACAUGACUAAGAAGCCCCGGCUAACUACGUGCCAGCAGCCGCGGUAAUACGUAGGUGGCAAGAGUUGUCCGGAUUUACUGGGUGUAAAGGGCGUGUAGCCGGGCUGACAAGUCAGAUGUGAAAUCCGGGGGCUCAACCCCCGAGCUGCAUUUGAAACUGUUGGUCUUGAGUAUCGGAGAGGCAGGCGGAAUUCCUGGUGUAGCGGUGAAAUGCGUAGAUAUCAGGAGGAACACCGGCGGCGAAGGCGGCCUGCUGGACCGUGACUGACGUUGAGGCUCGAGAGCGUGGGGAGCAAACAGGAUUAGAUACCCUCGUA